AGUGAACGCUGGCGGCAGGCCUAACACAUGCAAGUCGAACGGCAACACAGUAAGAGCUUGUUCUUUCGGGUGGCGAGUGGCGGACGGGUGAGGUAUACAUCGGACUCCACUUUUUCGUGGGGGAAAUCCUAGGGACAGUUACGCUAAUCCCGCAUACGACCUACGGCAGAAAGCAGGAGCUCUUCGGCCCUUGCGCGAUUGUAUGAGCCGAUGUCGGAUUCGCUAGUUGGCGGGGUAAAGGCUCACCAAGGCGACGAUCCGUAGCUGGUCUGAGAGGAUGAUCAGCCACACUGGAACUGAGACACGGUCCAGACUCCUACGGGAGGCAGCAGUGGGGAAUAUUGGACAAUGGGCGCAAGCCUGAUCCAGCCAUACCGCGUGGAUGAAGAAGGCCUUCGGGUUGUAAAGCCCUUUUGUUGGGAAAGAAAAGCAUCAGGUUAAUACCCCGCUGUACUGACGUUACCCAAAGAAUAAGCACCGGCUAACUUCGUG
RNAcentral lists this ribosomal RNA (492 nucleotides) under uncultured bacterium. RNAcentral's name for it is "partial 16S ribosomal RNA". It matches the Rfam family "Bacterial small subunit ribosomal RNA", at positions 29 to 507 of the family's 1533-position model. The record is from RNAcentral.